This 158-nucleotide unclassified non-coding RNA is filed under the name Paracoccus alcaliphilus. RNAcentral's name for it is "6S / SsrS RNA". The record is from RNAcentral. Lineage: Bacteria; Pseudomonadati; Pseudomonadota; Alphaproteobacteria; Rhodobacterales; Paracoccaceae.
GGGCUUCUGCUCUUCUCGCGUGCGGCCAUUUUUCCACUGGCCUAUAACUUUUCCGAGGGGGCUGGCUCUGACGUGACCCUGGUCUCGUUACCUGGCGCCCACCUGGUACUCCAGGCUUUCGGGAAAUCUCGUGCCGUCGCGGUUGCUGCGGUUCCCGC